CGAAUGCUGACAUAAGUAACGAUAAAGCGGGUGAAAAGCCCGCUCGCCGGAAGACCAAGGGUUCCUGUCCAACGUUAAUCGGGGCAGGGUGAGUCGACCCCUAAGGCGAGGCCGAAAGGCGUAGUCGAUGGGAAACAGGUUAAUAUUCCUGUACUUGGUGUUACUGCGAAGGGGGGACGGAGAAGGCUAUGUUGGCCGGGCGACGGUUGUCCCGGUUUAAGCGUGUAGGCUGGUUUUCCAGGCAAAUCCGGAAAAUCAAGGCUGAGGCGUGAUGACGAGGCACUACGGUGCUGAAGCAACAAAUGCCCUGCUUCCAGGAAAAGCCUCUAAGCAUCAGGUAACAUCAAAUCGUACCCCAAACCGACACAGGUGGUCAGGUAGAGAAUACCAAGGCGCUUGAGAGAACUCGGGUGAAGGAACUAGGCAAAAUGGUGCCGUAACUUCG
RNAcentral lists this ribosomal RNA (445 nucleotides) under Escherichia coli. RNAcentral's name for it is "partial 23S ribosomal RNA". It matches the Rfam family "Bacterial large subunit ribosomal RNA", at positions 1291 to 1738 of the family's 2925-position model. Lineage: Bacteria; Pseudomonadati; Pseudomonadota; Gammaproteobacteria; Enterobacterales; Enterobacteriaceae. The record is from RNAcentral.